This 406-nucleotide ribosomal RNA is filed under the name uncultured bacterium. RNAcentral describes it as "partial 16S ribosomal RNA". It matches the Rfam family "Bacterial small subunit ribosomal RNA", at positions 29 to 526 of the family's 1533-position model. The record is from RNAcentral.
AUUGAACGCUGGCGGCAGGCUUAACACAUGCAAGUCGAACGAGUGGCGGACGGGUGAGUAAUGCUUGGGAAUCUAGCUUAUGGAGGGGGAUAACUACGGGAAACGGUAGCUAAUACCGCGUACCAUAGGAUGAGCCCAAGGGGGAUUAGGUAGUUGGUGGGGUAAAGGCUCACCAAGCCGACGAUCUCUAGCUGGGCUGAGAGGAUGAUCAGCCACACUGGGACCGAGACACGGACCAGACGCCUACGGGAGUCAGCAGUGGGGAAGAUUGCACAAUGGGCGCAAGCGUGAUGCAGCCAUGCCGCGUGGAUGAAGAAGGCAUUAGGGUUGUAAAGUACUUUCAGCGGGGAGGCGUUACCCGCAGAAGAAGCACCGGCUAACUCCGUGCCAGCAGCCGCGGUAAUUC